This 89-nucleotide transfer RNA is filed under the name candidate division TM7 genomosp. GTL1. It matches the Rfam family "tRNA". From Rfam's summary of the family: Transfer RNA (tRNA) molecules are approximately 80 nucleotides in length. Their secondary structure includes four short double-helical elements and three loops (D, anti-codon, and T loops). The record is from Rfam by way of RNAcentral. Lineage: Bacteria; Candidatus Saccharimonadota.
GGAGAGGUGGCCGAGUCCGGCUUAAGGCGCACGCCUGGAACGCGUGUUGGGAAGUGAUUCCCUCGCAGGUUCGAAUCCUGUCCUUUCCG